CGUACGGUACCGUCAACCCUCUACACGUANAGGGGUUUNUUCCCGUNUAAAAGAAGUUUACAACCCAUAGGGCCGUCAUCCUUCACGCGGCAUGGCUGGUUCAGGCUUUUCGCCC
RNAcentral lists this ribosomal RNA (115 nucleotides) under uncultured bacterium. Its description in RNAcentral is "partial 16S ribosomal RNA". The record is from RNAcentral.